Molecule: long non-coding RNA, 295 nt
Filed under: Capsella rubella
Lineage: Eukaryota; Viridiplantae; Streptophyta; Magnoliopsida; Brassicales; Brassicaceae
Description: long non-coding RNA (CRUB_LNC004892)
Source: RNAcentral
UUAAAAAUUAGUUUUGAAUGUUAAAAAUGUUAGUUUUAUUUUUGUGGUAUUUUUGGAAAAAUGUAUUUUUCAGUAGUAUUUUUAGAAAAUAAAACUCAUAAUGAUAGUUCUGGAAAAAAAAACGUACUCAUUUUAGAGAUAUUUGAGAGAACUCCCUUUUAUAAUAUAAAAUUAUUUUCCGUUUCUAUAUGUAAAAGUUUUUUUUAUGCAUAAUUGAAUAUUAUAUAAAAAGAAAAUAUAUUUUAUUCUAAUAUUAUAAAUAUGAACUGAAAAGAAUAAUUAGUAUCUUUUCACG